UUUACUUGAAAUUUACGAUAUCGACCAAAUAUAUUAGGUGCACCCAAAUUUUAUCAAGGCCACCCAAUAUAUACACAUUUCUUUUCUUUACUCACUAACAUUUUUACAAAAUGCUUAUGCAAACCAAUGUUAUAACAAAUUCCCAACUUCAUGAACAAAUAAAUUCGAGUAUCCUUUAACAAUUUCGUCACAUAGUAAUCGAAAUUACUAUGGACACCCAACCAAUCUUAUUCCAAUUAUUUCACCACCAUUUCAAAUCACCUGCUUUCGCACACUAACAAAACCUUAAAUUUCACAACCAGAAACAAUCACAAAUUAGUCUAUUCUCCAGCCAAACAAACAGAAACAUUUCAAUUAACAACCUCAAUAUCACCUCCCGUACUACACUCUGCAGCGAAAUCCACAAACCACCAAACUACACAACUCGAUCAAACCACACACUAUGGCUAUGUUUGGGGGGGCUUUUUAGCUCCCCUGCUUAUAAGCACAAGACCCAUAAGUGUUUGGUAAGCCAACUUCUCAUCAGCUUCCUCCAGAAGCUGCUGUGGCUUCUGCCCAAAAGCAGAAGCUGCCGAACCCCAGCUUUCAAAAGCCAGAAGCCCGAAAAUUACUGUAGCGGUGUUACUGUAGAUUAAUGAAAAUUUCAAAAUACCGGUAAUUACCCUUCCAAGCUGAAACAAUUUCAGCUGAACCAUUAACCCUACGCAUAUCUUCGGUGGUCACUGUUCCCCAUCUCUCUCCCUCGUCACACCCGCAGCAUCACAGCUUCCCUGCUCCCCCAUCUCUCUCCCUCAUCACACCCGCACCGCCGCAUCCUCGCUGCUCCCUCACCGCCGCAUCCUCGAAGCUCCCCGUCACCUUCGCAUCGUCGCUGCUCCCCAUCACAGACGUAUCAGCACGCAAGCAUCUUUCUCCCUCACAUCGUCGCUGCUCCCCGUCACCGCUCUCCAUCUCCGUCCGUCAUCAUAGACCGCAGCCCCGACGUCGAUAUACCCAUCUGUGUGUCCCUCGUCACAUAUCGAUCUCCGACGCAAGCUCCCCGUCACCGGUCCUCGUCACCGCUCCCACAGAUCGAUCUCUCUCCGCAUCGAUCUACCCAUCUCUCUGUCCCUCAUCACAGCUGGUGGGUGAAAGUGAGAAGAUGAGGAUGAAGAAGCUGGAGGAGCUGAGCAAGAACAUUGAUUCAAUGCAGUGAAUAUAGCCCUUUGAUGAUAGCUCUGACCUGUGUGUGAUGUAUUUAAGAUGACUACUUUGUUAAUGUUUACAUAUAUGGGUGAUUGGCUUUGCUGUAUUCUAAGUUUGGCUGUUUCGUUAGGCAUUUGAAAAACUUUAGCUUGAUUUAGGCAGGAAAUACCCUUCUAAAUUUAAACAGGUUUGUAACUAAACGCAUUCUGAACUUCGCAUUUUCUUCUCAUUGUAAGGUCUCUUUUAGUGUAAUGUGGGUUUUCUUCAUUUAUUUUUGAAA
Molecule: long non-coding RNA, 1465 nt
Organism: Rosa rugosa (rugosa rose)
Lineage: Eukaryota; Viridiplantae; Streptophyta; Magnoliopsida; Rosales; Rosaceae
Exons: 2
Source: RefSeq, a predicted model, not a curated record